Long non-coding RNA from Cyprinodon tularosa, 1164 nucleotides. RefSeq lists it as uncharacterized. The transcript is spliced from 3 exons. Lineage: Eukaryota; Metazoa; Chordata; Actinopteri; Cyprinodontiformes; Cyprinodontidae. The record is from RefSeq and is a predicted model, not a curated record.
GUAAUGCCUCCCCACAGCAUGAUCCUGCCAACACCCUGCUCAAUGCUGUUGAGGGCUUGUCCAAGGACGAUCAGAACCUGGACCGCAGAUCUCUGCAUCUUUUCUAAGCUGUGAACAUCUUGGCAAGCUGUCUUAUCAUUGCUGUCCUUUAAUUGGACGUCCAUGUCUUGGUCACCGCUCAUCACUUCCCACAGGCCCACGCCACAAAAAAUCCCAGACUAAAAGCCAUUAGCUCUUCUAAAAUUAAACAUUUCAGUAUAGUCUGUUCCUGUGAACAGCAACGGGAAUAAAGGAGCCCUGGAAGGGUAGCAACGGCCAUUCAUCUUUUUCUUAUUACUGUCAUCAUUCAGCCUCCAGCCUCUUCAACCCAGAUCUCCUGGUUAAAUCACCACAGCCGUAGCUCUAUAUUAGGACAAGGACGGAGGCCUCAGAAUAACGGAGAGAACAUCCGUCAUGAGGAAACUCAACACUCUCCUAAACAGGUUGGACUGCUGGGAUCAAACUGGGCUGAACCUGGACGCAGAGGGUUAUCAGGUGGAGCUGAGAAAACCACAGGGAGCAUCUGAACAGAACAUCCAUUAAUGAUGAGGUUUCACCUCUGGUUGAAGAUCAAACUCUGGUCCAUUUCUCAGCUGCCAAGGAAGUAAAUGAAAGAUAAAAAAAAAAAAAGACACUGUUUGACUAAACUGACUCCAAAUAGAAAAGUAGAUGGAAGAAAAAAGAAUUGCUUCAUUAGGUUGAAUCUGAACAGUAUUUAUGGAUCAUGCUAUUGUUUUUAUUAGCAAACAGUGUUUUUUAUUAAUACUGUCUGCAUCUCUUUUCUGUUUUUCAUGCACACUAUUUGAUUUGAUUUUCUGGUAGUGACAUGGAUGCAUAUCAAGGAGAUGGUAAGAACUGUAGAGGAACUGUUUUAAAUACAACAUCCAGUGUUUGGUUUUUAAAACUGUCCUGAUGAAACGUUUGGCCUUUUCAGAUGAUGAGUUUCCAGAGUCCAAAUCUAAUUUACAGCCACAUAUAUUUUGUCUUUCUGCAGAUCAGCUUCCAUAAGCCUCCUUGGCAUGUUAACCUGGUUAACAAAGCUGUAAUCGUGUUCGUCACCUGAAUAUAUAUUCUGACUGGAUCCAGCUACAGUUUUGGAUCACACAGUCGAACCGCCAAGAUUGU